Long non-coding RNA from Clarias gariepinus (North African catfish), 1799 nucleotides. RefSeq lists it as uncharacterized. The transcript is spliced from 3 exons. Lineage: Eukaryota; Metazoa; Chordata; Actinopteri; Siluriformes; Clariidae. The record is from RefSeq and is a predicted model, not a curated record.
CAGAGGUCAAGUCACAGUAACUCAGACUCCUGCAGUGAAAUCUGCUCGUCCAGGAGAAACAGUCACCAUCAACUGUAGAACUAAUCCCCAGGUGUACCAAGGUUGGGGCUAUCAACCUUUAGCUUGGUAUCAGCAGAAACCUGGAGAAGCUCCUAAACUACUGAUUAUAAAAGCAAAUCAGCUACAGUCAGGUUUUCCAGCUCGUUUCAGUGGCAGUGGAUCUGGAUCUGAUUUCACUCUGACCAUCAGUGGAGUCCAGACUGAAGAUGCAGCAGAUUAUUACUGUAAAGGCGUUCACUGUCCUAGCAGCUGCGUGUUCACACAGUGUUAUUGAGUCGUACAAAAACCUCCCUUAGUCAGAUUGUAGAGAGACUGCACUGCUGCAGCUGGGAGCGACUGCAGGUGCUGAGUUAGAGGAUGUGAUACGACACAAUGACACUCUGUGGAGGAGAGGAACCACACCACACUAACUCACAACUCACAUUAGAAAUCUCUCAAUAAUCAUAACACCACAGUACACAGAGUCCACCAGGGCCACUACUGUAAAAUUAAUACUUCUAUUGAUUUAUAAAUUAUUCUAAUCCUUUUUCAAAGCUAUUUGGUGGUUAAUCAUCUGCUCUCUGAUUUAGUUGUGUUUUUCUUGUUUCCCUUUCAUGACACACUUCAGCCCUGCUCUAGAUUCUCCCUCAGUUACUGGUGUAACUCCUCACAGACUCUCUCUUCUGAGAUUUGGGAAUCAAACUGGUGUUCCUUCUCUCCACUCCACUAAGUCAAGACUCCAGUCCUCCUGACUCCUCUCUCUCUUUAGAACUCUUAUAUCCGAAGAUUUAACAACUCUCCUCUAAAACACAAUAAUGUGAACUACUUGGACAUGGUCAUCCAUCCUUUACCAGCAAGAGCAUCCAGUGUUUCUGCAUGAAUCUCAGUAAGUUUGGCAGACAUCUCAUCAUGGAUGGCAGCUCUUUAUCCUCAGCUGAAACUAAAUCUCAGCAAGUCUGUUCUGCUGUAUAUCACUAGAGAUGCAUCACUAUGAUGGAUUUGGUGAUUGUUGAGGAGAACUAUUGUGUAACAACAUCUGACAGAACAAUGAAACUUCGGGUAGUUUAAAAAACUAGCUAACAUUCUCUCCUCAUAUCUCAUCACAUCUUUUUUUAAUUGUCUUGGCCAAAAACUGAACAUCUGCAGCACUAUCAGGCUUUAAACAAAGAACUUUAUUCAGUCACCAAGCGCUAAAAUAAACCCUAAUAAAAAACUUCAUUUUGUGCUGUUGUUUUCUUUCUGCACUAAUAUUAACUUCUCUCUAAUGGGAAUUUAGCUUCAUAAUAUUUUAUUGGUUUAUGAGGAUGUGUUUUAUUGUAGACUACCAAAGCACAUGUACGUCUGUAAGUCACACUGGAUAAGGGGAUGUGCCGGGUGCUGUAGAUGUAAGUAUACUUGAGAGACAGUGCAAUACUACUUCUUGUCCUGUGGUUCAGGUCUCGCUCCUGUUUGAUGGUUUAUUGAGUCAGGAAUCACGCAGCAUUAAGGUGUUGUUUUAAUGUGAUCUGAUUUCUCCAGCUGAUGGCCCUGUUUUAUACAUGACCUCAGACCAUUUUUUUCUUUUGCUGUCUAUAUAUAAGUUUUAUUAUCAGUUUGUCUCACCUGUGUUUUGUUCUCGUGUCAUCCUGGUGCACUUUGCUGCUAUUCUGUUCACUCUGUAAGAGAGGAUAUACUGUAGAUUAAUUCAAUUCAAUUUUAUUUAUAUAGCGCUUUUAACAAUGGUCAUUGUCUUAAAGCAGCUUCACAAAAAUAAAGGAAAU